AUUUCAUAAUUGUGUACUAUAGUGAUUCAAAAUGGCGCUAGCAUUUGGCAGUUUUCAUAUAAACAAAGGGUAGUACAAUCUUGAGAAGUGACUGUAAGUGUCCUCACUGUAAAGUGAGGAUAAAAAUAGCACCUAACCCUUAGGUGUGAGAUUACUUUGUGAUAAUGGAAUGGACUUCCCAGCCUGGACCUUGGGACCCAGAUUUGUAUAAUGAUCUCCAUGAUCUCUGCAUUAUUCAUGUGACCCCUGUGGCUGAAGACAAAAAAGCACAUCAUCACACCAGUUUUGAAGAGACCUUAAUAGUAAAAUAACUUCUUCAUACUAGUUUAACAUGUUUUAUCUGUGUAGGUUGUUCUAUACUUUCAACAAAUACUUUUUCCCUGUUUAAAUUAUUGCUGAAUGAUAAUCGGAUUUGGCAGAAAGUCCUUGUUAUUACAAUGUCCAGUGACUAAUUUAAGUGUCUUUAGAGAAUGUCCCAUGAGAAGAGAAGUGAAAGCACCACCUGUGCCCUGUUGGUGUUGGUUUGUAAGGUUUCCUUCUAGGCUGAAAAGAUGGGCUCACAUGGGGAGAAGAAAAUUUACACAGAAGUUAUAAUUUUAUGCUUUUCUGUCACUCUUCAUAAUCAGCUGGUUUGUAUCAAUAGUAUGCAUUUUCAAAUAGCCUCCUUUGCUUCAUUGUUUCAAAACAUUAAUGCAAUGAGCUGUCCUCUAAUAUAUUUAUAUAAUUAAUUGUCAAUCAUUAACCCAUAAUUAAUGCAAUGUGUGUGCAUUACUCAGUUUCUUUAUGGUUCCCCCCCAUGUUUUCUUGGAUUAAGUUUGAAUCAGAUUAAUUUCAGGAAUAUGGGGAAGAGUUCUCUCUAAAAUGGGUAUGCUUUGUCUUUCUCUGUUUCAUGCAUUUGAACCCAGAACAAGUCAUUUCUCUCUCUUGGGUUCUGCUUUCCUUAGGGCCUCUUUGCAUUUGCCAGUAAUAUUUUUUGUUGCCUGUGUACUUUUCAGACUUCUCUUCCAUAGUUAAGGAUACCAUAAUUAUAAAGGAAAAAUGUAUGCAUAGAUUGAUAGCUAAAUAGAUGGAUGGAGAAACAAGCCAAAGAAUGAACAAACCAACGAUAUUUCCCACUGAAUUUAUAACCAGAGUCCAUCUCUGGCAUCUAUAUAUUUAUCCACACUGUCUACUUCUCUCUGUCACCAUUCCCAUUCAGAGGUAUUUAAAAUGUCUGUAGUGUAUACUGUAUUAUGCUAAUAUAUUUUUUCUUUUGUUUUUCAAAGAGGACCGACAAUAACUUUAUUGAAUGUUUGUCUCUGAAAAAACUAAUAUUUUUAUACGGAUUUUUAAAAAUUAGCAACAAUGAUCUAAAGCUGAAAUGUGUCAUUUUUACUGGGGAGGGGAAGCUUCUUUGUGUCAACUUUCAGAUACCAUCCUGAGCUAAAUUUUUAAUGUGUUUUGCAUUGAAAUUUUUCUUUUUUGGAGAAGUGUCAUCAGAACACAUUUUAGAGCAAAAUAGAAGACUUUUCUAAAAGUG
This is a long non-coding RNA of Choloepus didactylus (southern two-toed sloth), 1519 nucleotides long. RefSeq lists it as uncharacterized. The record is from RefSeq and is a predicted model, not a curated record. Lineage: Eukaryota; Metazoa; Chordata; Mammalia; Pilosa; Megalonychidae. The transcript is spliced from 3 exons.